Molecule: ribosomal RNA, 467 nt
Filed under: uncultured bacterium
Lineage: Bacteria
Description: bacterial SSU rRNA
Rfam family: Bacterial small subunit ribosomal RNA
Source: RNAcentral
UAAGGAAUAUUGGUCAAUGGAGGCAACUCUGAACCAGCCAUGCCGCGUGCAGGAAGAAGGCCCUAUGGGUCGUAAACUGCUUUUGAACAAGAGAAAACCCCGGUACGUGUACUGGGUUGAUAGUAUUGUUAGAAUAAGCAUCGGCUAACUUCGUGCCAGCAGCCGCGGUAAGACGAAGGAUGCAAGCGUUAUCCGGAUUCAUUGGGUUUAAAGGGUGCGUAGGCGGACUGAUAAGUCAGUGGUGAAAUCUCUCGGCUUAACCGAGAAACUGCCAUUGAUACUGUUAGUCUAGAGUACAGAUGAUGUGGGCGGAAUAUGACAUGUAGUGGUGAAAUACUUAGAUAUGUCAUAGAACACCGAUUGCGAAGGCAGCUCACAAAACUGUAACUGACGCUGAGGCACGAAAGUGCGGGGAUCAAACAGGAUUAGAUACCCAAGUAGUCCCUGAGCGGGCUGGCAAGGCGCAU